Molecule: ribosomal RNA, 284 nt
Filed under: uncultured bacterium
Lineage: Bacteria
Description: partial 16S ribosomal RNA
Rfam family: Bacterial small subunit ribosomal RNA
Source: RNAcentral
ACCUACGGGAGGCAGCAGUGAGGAAUAUUGGUCAAUGGGCGGGAGCCUGAACCAGCCAAGUCGCGUGAGGGAAGACGGUCCUAUGGAUUGUAAACCUCUUUAGGCGGGGAGCAAUGCCGGGCACGCGUGCCCGGAGGGAGAGUACCCGCAGAAAAAGCAUCGGCUAACUCCGUGCCAGCAGCCGCGGUAAUACGGAGGAUGCGAGCGUUAUCCGGAUUUAUUGGGUUUAAAGGGGGCGUAGGCGGAUUUUUAAGUCAGCGGUAAAAAUUCCGGGCUCACCCCGG